CGCAAGCCCGCAAAUCACGCCGCGAACCGCCGCAGACUGACCCCGACUCCCUACGCCCGCCCCCAAUCCAGCCGCAAUCCACCCUGCGAAUGCGGCGACCGUCGCGUUCCGGCCGGCCGCCCGUCCGCCCGCCGCUAUGGCACUAUCCACUAACCAGACACAGCGUCCAGCCAAGCUUUUGCCGCCGCCCACUUCUCUCCCACCUCCCCUCCACUCUUUUGCUUGUCGCGGGGUUAGAAUCCCAUGGCGCUAUCGGCCGAGAUCCGCUUCGGCCACCAGAUCCCCUAUCCCACUACGACACUGACUCCUACGAGGAGGAGGAAGAAGAGGAAGAGGAAGACGAGGAGGAGUUCGAGGGGGUGGAGGGCGGAGGAGAUGGAUGAGGUGACGGUUUCGUCUCCGCUGAUGCUGCCGGCAACGGAGGCCAGGGGAGGGGUGUCCGUGGUCGAGAUGGUGAUGGGGGCGCUUCGGAGGUCGCUCAUGUUGUGCAGCAGCAGCGCCGGCGCCGGCGCCGGCGUGCGCGAGCCGGAGCAGGAGGAGGACGGGGUGACUCCCCCGGGUGGUAUGCAAAUAGGGGGGCCAACGGAUGUGCGGCACGUCUCACACGUCACCUUCGACCGCUUCAUUGGCUUCCUCGACCUCCCCGCUGACCUCGAGCCCGACGUGCCUCGCCCCGUGCCGAGCGCAAGGUCUCCUGCUUGUGGUGAUGAUGCAGGAGAGCCAUGGUGGGUAGGUGAAAGCAUACCUCGAUCGCAAGUCACUGGCAAAUUCUCUGAACGACAUAAAGACCGUAGUUAUGCAACUUCACGACCUCAUCAGUGUUAUAGACUUAUAGUCAUCAUUGUUACACUACUAUUUAUGGGCAUUGCGACAACCAAGAUUCUUGUUGUCAUCUCGUCCCAGCUUCUGGUUGCGGGAUUCAUAUUUGGGAAUGCAUGCAAGACUGUAUUUGAGGCCCUUAUAUUUGUAUUCAUCAUGCAUCCAUUUGAGGUUGCUAACCGCUGUGUUAUCGACGAAACACAGGUACCUGGAGAGCAAACCAACGCAUUGGCACCCUACCCACACUGUAAAUCUCAAGGACAUCUUGGAUGUGAACAAGAUUAACAUGUCUCUCUCAGUCCAGCACACCAUGAACUUUCAAAACAUCCGGGAGAAGAACAUCAGGAGGUCUGAGCUCGUUAUGGAGUUGAAGAAAAUAUUCGAGGAGAUGUCCAUUCGGUACCACCUUCUACCCCAGAAAGUUGAACUCACCUACGUCGACUCGAACCCACUGCCCAUGGGUCCUUCUCAUACAAGAUAGAAGAUGGGUGAAGACUUUUAAGUCUCAUACUGACAACUUGAUCCGUUUCAUGGGAUCUGACAACUGAUGGCUAGCUGUGCAGUCUGUUCUGAAGUUACUAAAACUCUGCAUAGUAGAUAUUAGCUCGUAGAAUAAUUUGUCAGAUAAUGCAUUUGUAAGCGGUGAUGGUACUGGUGAUCAAUGCUUUGGGAUUGGCCAUUACACCAUUUGAUUAUCUACACCGUUUGGUGCAUCACAAUCGAAAAUGUUGCGAAAUAGCCACUACUAAAGAAAUUCAGCUGGGAGAUUGAAGUGGGCC
Zea mays is the source of this 1598-nucleotide RNA transcript. It is a transcript of the gene named protein-like pseudogene, with no coding region annotated. Lineage: Eukaryota; Viridiplantae; Streptophyta; Magnoliopsida; Poales; Poaceae. The transcript has 4 exons. The record is from RefSeq and is marked validated.